Molecule: non-coding RNA, 28 nt
Filed under: Rattus norvegicus (Norway rat)
Lineage: Eukaryota; Metazoa; Chordata; Mammalia; Rodentia; Muridae
Source: RNAcentral
UGGAAAGCCUUCACAGGGCGGCCUGGAC